GUAAAUAUCCCAAAGCUGAGGAAUCCAAA
RNAcentral lists this non-coding RNA (29 nucleotides) under Cricetulus griseus (Chinese hamster). Lineage: Eukaryota; Metazoa; Chordata; Mammalia; Rodentia; Cricetidae. The record is from RNAcentral.